CCAGUGAACAAUUAAACGGCCGCGGUACCCUAACCGUGCAAAGGUAGCAUAAUCAUUUGUCUACUAAUUAUAGACCUGCAUGAAAGGCAAAAUGAGGGUCUAACUGUCUCUUAUAAUGAAUCAAUUAAACUGAUCUCCUAGUAAAAAAGCUAGAAUCUCCACAUAAGACCAGAAGACCCUGUGAAGCUUAAACUAAACUAUUAAACCAUAUAAUAACCACUUUCGGUUGGGGCGACCUUGGAAAAAAAAAGAACUUCCAAAAACUAUGACUAUCCAUACUACCCAGGCCAACAAGCCAAUAAACGACCCAGCACAGCUGAUCACCGAACCAAGUUACUCCAGGGAUAACAGCGCAAUCCUCUUCAAGAGCCCAUAUCAAAAAGAGGGUUUACGACCUCGAUGUUGGAUCAGG
RNAcentral lists this ribosomal RNA (412 nucleotides) under Chironius multiventris. RNAcentral's name for it is "partial 16S ribosomal RNA". It matches the Rfam family "Bacterial large subunit ribosomal RNA", at positions 1909 to 2541 of the family's 2925-position model. The record is from RNAcentral. Lineage: Eukaryota; Metazoa; Chordata; Lepidosauria; Squamata; Colubridae.